This 1927-nucleotide ribosomal RNA is filed under the name human gut metagenome. RNAcentral describes it as "bacterial LSU rRNA". It matches the Rfam family "Bacterial large subunit ribosomal RNA", at positions 3 to 1973 of the family's 2925-position model. The record is from RNAcentral.
UCAAGUGACUAAGUGCAUGCGGCGGAUGCCUUGGCGAUCACAGGCGAAGAAAGACGCGGCAGCCUGCGAAAAGCUGCGGGGAGCUGGCAAACGAGCUUUGAUCCGCAGAUAUCUGAAUGGGGGAACCCACACCGCAAGGUGUAUCCGUAACUGAAUACAUAGGUUACGGAGGCGAACGAGGAGAACUGAAACAUCUAAGUAUCCUCAGGAAAAGAAAUCAACCGAGAUUCCGGCAGUAGCGGCGAGCGAACCCGGAGGAGCCUAGCUUUUGAUAGUACGAACUUUAGCCGAAAGGUCCUGGAAAGGCCUGCUAUAGUGGGUGAUAGCCCCGUAGGCGAAAGAGUUGGUACGGUACUAAGGAAGCGAGAAGUAGAGCGGGACACGUGGAAUCCUGUUCGAAGACGGGGGGACCAUCCUCCAAGGCUAAAUACUCGUGAUCGACCGAUAGUGAACCAGUACCGUGAGGGAAAGGCGAAAAGAACCCCGGGAGGGGAGUGAAAUAGAACCUGAAACCGCAUGCAUACAAACAGUAGGAGCCUUUACGGAGGUGACUGCGUACCUUUUGCAUAAUGGGUCAGCGACUUACAUUCUGUGGCGAGCUUAACCGAAUAGGGGAGGCGCAGCGAAAGCGAGUUCGAAAUGAGCGUCCAGUCGCAGGGUGUAGACCCGAAACCAGAUGAGCUAUCCAUGGCCAGGUUGAAGGUGUGGUAACACACACUGGAGGACCGAACCGACUAGUGUUGCAAAAUUAGCGGAUGAGCUGUGGAUAGGGGUGAAAGGCCAAACAAAUCUGGAGAUAGCUGGUUCUCCCCGAAAACUAUUGAGGUAGUGCCUCGUGUGUCGCUCCAGGGGGUAGAGCACUGUUUUGGCUAGGGGGACAUGGAGUCUUACCAAACCAAGGCAAACUCCGAAUACCUGGAAGCGUAAGCACGGGAGACAGAGCACCGGGUGCUAACGUCCGGACUCAAAAGGGAAACAACCCAGACCGCCGGCUAAGGUCCCAAAUAACAGCUAAGUGGAAAACGAAGUGGAAAGGCCGUGACAACCAGGAAGUUGGCUUAGAAGCAGCCAUCCUUCAAAGAAAGCGUAAUAGCUCACUGGUCGAGUCCUUCUGCGCGGAAGAUGUAACGGGGCUAAGCUGUUAACCGAAGCCGCGGAUGCACUGGUUAUCCAGUGCGUGGUAGGGGAGCGUUCUGUAAGUCUGCGAAGGCGGUUCGAGAGGACUGCUGGAGAUAUCAGAAGUGCGAAUGCUGACAUGAGUAACGUUAAAGCAGGUGAAAAGCCUGCUCGCCGUAAGCCCAAGGAUUCCUGCUCUACGUUCAUCGGAGCAGGGUGAGUCGGCUCCUAAGGUCAGGCCGAAAGGCGUAGCCGAUGGGAAUCAGGUUAAUAUUCCUGAACCUGCGUCAGAUGCGAUGGGGGGACGGAGCAUGGAAGAUCAUCCGGGUGUUGGAAGUCCCGGUUGUUGAGCGUAGGAGGUCUGCAGGCAAAUCCGCAGACGCAUCUCCAAGGCAAAGACACGUGCCGCCACGGCGGCGAAGUGAUCGGAAGUGCUUCCAAGAAAAGCCUCUAAGCACCAGUCUGACGCGGACCGUACCGCAAACCGACACUGGUGGGCGAGCUGAAUAUGCUCAGGCGCUUGAGAGAACUCGGGAGAAGGAACUCGGCAAAUUGACACCGUAACUUCGGAAGAAGGUGUGCCGUAGUACCGUGAGAGGAGAGACACCUUGAGCGGGAAACGGUCUCAGAGAAUAGGUGGCUGCGACUGUUUAUUAAAAACACAGCACUCUGCAAAGUCGAAAGACGACGUAUAGGGUGUGAUGCCUGCCCGGUGCUGGAAGAUUAAUUGAUGGGGUGAGAGCCCUUGAUCGAAGUCCCAGUAAACGGCGGCCGUAACUAUAACGGUCCUAAGGUAGCGAAAUUCCUUGUC